UACAGGGGGUGCAAACGUUGCUCGGAAUCAUUGGGCGUAAAGCGCACGUAGGCGGUUCGUUAUGUCUGAUGUGAAAGCCCUUGGCUUAACCGAGGAAGUGCAUCCGAAACUGGCGAGCUAGAGUACUAAAGAGGAUCGCGGAAUUCCCGGUGUAGAGGGGAAAUUCGUAGAUAUCGGGAGGAACACCGGUGGCGAAGGCGGCGAUCUGGGUAGAUACUGACGCUGAGACGCGAAAGCGUGGGUAGCAAACAGG
This 253-nucleotide ribosomal RNA is filed under the name uncultured bacterium. Its description in RNAcentral is "partial 16S ribosomal RNA". It matches the Rfam family "Bacterial small subunit ribosomal RNA", at positions 524 to 776 of the family's 1533-position model. The record is from RNAcentral.